RNAcentral lists this transfer RNA (93 nucleotides) under Betaphycus gelatinus. Its description in RNAcentral is "tRNA-Ser". It matches the Rfam family "tRNA". From Rfam's summary of the family: Transfer RNA (tRNA) molecules are approximately 80 nucleotides in length. Their secondary structure includes four short double-helical elements and three loops (D, anti-codon, and T loops). The record is from RNAcentral. Lineage: Eukaryota; Rhodophyta; Florideophyceae; Gigartinales; Solieriaceae.
GAGAAGAUGGUUGAGUGGUUUAAGACAACGGUUUGCUAAAUCGUCACAUAAUAUAAAAUUUUUAUGUCAUGGGUUCGAAUCCCAUUCUUCUCA